RNAcentral lists this ribosomal RNA (446 nucleotides) under uncultured bacterium. Its description in RNAcentral is "partial 16S ribosomal RNA". It matches the Rfam family "Bacterial small subunit ribosomal RNA", at positions 28 to 507 of the family's 1533-position model. The record is from RNAcentral.
GAUGAACGCUGGCGGCAUGCCUAACACAUGCAAGUCGGACGGGAAACACGGGCUACGGUGUUUCUAGAGGCGGACGGGUGAGUAACGCGUAUGAACCUGUCCUUGGGAGGGGAACAAAAGCUGGAGACGGGUGCUAAUACACCGCAGGCUGCGGAGCAAAAGGAGGAAUGGGUCCGAGGAGGGGGGGGUGUCUGAUUAGCCAGGUGGAGAGGCAAUAGCUUAUCAGGGAGAGGAACAGGAGCUGGUCCGAGAGGAUGAUGAGCCAGACUGGGACGGGAAGACGGAGUGGAGUACUACGGAAGGCGGCAGUGAGGAAUUUUCCGCAAUGGGCGAAAGCCUGACGAGGCAAUGCGACGUGGAAGUAGAAGGCGUUGGGGUCAUGAGCAGCUUUUCAAGAAGAAGAUGCAAUGACGGUACCUGGAGAAUAAGCAUCGGCUAACUCUGUG